UUGAGUGUCGCUGGAAUUUUGUUCAGGCCUAUCAUCAAGGUUCAUGUCGUCGCUGAUGCUGUAUUGCUCUGGAUGGGGUGCGAUGGGGGAAUUCAGCUGCUGAGGAGCGCUAGCAAUAGCAACAGGUGUGGAGGGGUCGACUAGGUAAAGCGCAGAGUCGUUGCUAAUGUUGUUCCAGAUGCUGUCCUCUUCAAUGGUCAGGAGACUGCCAUGCAGAUUGUGCCAGUGCAACCAGGAGGACAGACAGACAGGUUGAGCUAGAUUAGAGUCUAACAAGUACCAGUGCCAGCAUGUUUGGUCAGAGUUGAUGGCUUUCUUUAGAGUAACAGAGUGUGCGCGGUUGCUGCUGUCAGUUGUUGCAAGAAUAAGAGCAGAGCUGCAGGCACUGGUAGCAAGGAGACUGUCA
RNAcentral lists this long non-coding RNA (406 nucleotides) under Dunaliella salina. RNAcentral describes it as "long non-coding RNA (DSAL_LNC000368)". Lineage: Eukaryota; Viridiplantae; Chlorophyta; Chlorophyceae; Chlamydomonadales; Dunaliellaceae. The record is from RNAcentral.